GCGCAGAGAGAAGCACCAACGACCCGUUCCGACCGGUCUCCGGUGGGGCGGAGUCUGAGCGUACACGUUGGAACCCGAAAGAUGGUGACCUAUGCCUGGGCAGGACGAAGCCAGAGGAAACUCUGGUGGAGGUCCGUAGCGGUUCUGACGUGCAAAUCGAUCGUCAGACC
This 170-nucleotide ribosomal RNA is filed under the name Palpimanus sp. 2 HMW-2014. RNAcentral describes it as "partial 28S ribosomal RNA". It matches the Rfam family "Eukaryotic large subunit ribosomal RNA", at positions 744 to 911 of the family's 3401-position model. The record is from RNAcentral. Lineage: Eukaryota; Metazoa; Arthropoda; Arachnida; Araneae; Palpimanidae.